CUGGGCUCCUGCUCCAGGGGCACGAUGUGAUCCACCAUCAAGGAGGGACACCAAUAAGGCAUCCGAUAAGAUAAGUCUUAUAAAAUAUAUAGACUUGUCUUAUCAAGGACACCUUCCACCGGCGUCCUCUUCCCGAGAUCACAUGGAGGCUCCAUAGAGAAGAGAGCAGGAGGAAGAGGAAAAGCAAGAGGGUGACUUCCUGUUUGUCCCUGCUUAUAUAUGGGUCUGCCUGCUAUGUCACUUCCUGCCUAUAUCACAUGACUUCUUUUUACUAAUUUUCCCAGAAUACUCCUCAACUCCUAGUCCCACCUAACUUGUUGCCUCAUUGGCCAAACAGU
This 338-nucleotide long non-coding RNA is filed under the name Cricetulus griseus (Chinese hamster). Its description in RNAcentral is "lncRNA (ENSCGRG00015036107.1)". Lineage: Eukaryota; Metazoa; Chordata; Mammalia; Rodentia; Cricetidae. The record is from RNAcentral.